UAGUAGUUGGUGGGUAACGCCUACCAAGCCUACGAUCUAUAGCUGGUUUUAGAGGAUGAUCAGCAACACUGGGACUGAGACACGGCCCAGACUCCUACGGGAGGCAGCAGUGGGGAAUCUUAGACAAUAGGGGGGCAACCCUGAUCUAGCCAUGCCGCGUGAGUGAUGAAGGCCUUAGGGGUCGUAAAGCUCUUUCGCCUGUGAUGAUAAUGACAGUAGCAGGUAAAGAAA
This 231-nucleotide ribosomal RNA is filed under the name uncultured bacterium. RNAcentral's name for it is "partial 16S ribosomal RNA". It matches the Rfam family "Bacterial small subunit ribosomal RNA", at positions 243 to 490 of the family's 1533-position model. The record is from RNAcentral.